Molecule: unclassified non-coding RNA, 345 nt
Filed under: soil metagenome
Description: partial contains 5.8S ribosomal RNA, internal transcribed spacer 2, and large subunit ribosomal RNA
Rfam family: 5.8S ribosomal RNA (bases 1-120)
Source: RNAcentral
GAUGAAGAACGCAGCGAAAUGCGAUAAGUAAUGUGAAUUGCAGAAUUCCGUGAAUCAUCGAGUCUUUGAACGUACAUUGCGCCCCCUGGUAUUCCGGGGGGCAUGCCUGUCCGAGCGUCAUUGCUGCCCUCAAGCACGGCUUGUGUGUUGGGCCUCCGUCCUCCUCCCGGGGGACGGGCCCGAAAGGCAGCGGCGGCACCGCGUCCGGUCCUCGAGCGUAUGGGGCUUCGUCACCCGCUCUUGUAGGCCCGGCCGGCGCUUGCCGACACAUCAAUCUUUUUUCCAGGUUGACCUCGGAUCAGGUAGGGAUACCCGCUGAACUUAAGCAUAUCAAUAUGCGGAGGA